GUUGUUUGGCCGAGUGGUUAAGGUAUGCUCCGUUUCCCCGCAGCGAGAGUUCGAAUCUCUCAAGCUACA
This 69-nucleotide small RNA is filed under the name Salix viminalis (osier). Lineage: Eukaryota; Viridiplantae; Streptophyta; Magnoliopsida; Malpighiales; Salicaceae. The record is from RNAcentral.